This 253-nucleotide ribosomal RNA is filed under the name uncultured bacterium. Its description in RNAcentral is "partial 16S ribosomal RNA". It matches the Rfam family "Bacterial small subunit ribosomal RNA", at positions 524 to 776 of the family's 1533-position model. The record is from RNAcentral.
UACGUAGGUGGCAAGCGUUGUCCGGAAUUACUGGGUGUAAAGGGAGCGCAGGCGGGAAGCCAAGUCAGCUGUGAAAACUACGGGCUUAACUUGUAGACUGCAGUUGAAACUGGUUUUCUUGAGUGAAGUAGAGGUUGGCGGAAUUCCGAGUGUAGCGGUGGAAUGCGUAGAUAUUCGGAGGAACACCGGUGGCGAAGGCGGCCAACUGGGCUUUAACUGACGCUGAGGCUCGAAAGUGUGGGGAGCAAACAGG